This 433-nucleotide ribosomal RNA is filed under the name uncultured bacterium. RNAcentral's name for it is "partial 16S ribosomal RNA". It matches the Rfam family "Bacterial small subunit ribosomal RNA", at positions 29 to 507 of the family's 1533-position model. The record is from RNAcentral.
AACGAACGCUGGCGGCAUGCCUAACACAUGCAAGUCGAACGAGACCUUCGGGUCUAGUGGCGCACGGGUGCGUAACGCGUGGGAACCUGCACUUAGGUUCGGAAUAACUCCCCGAAAGGGGUGCUAAUACCGGAUAAUGUCUUCGGACCAAAGAUUUAUCGCCUUUGGAUGGGCACGCGUUGGAUUAGCUAGUUGGUAGGGUAAAAGCCUACCAAGGCGACGAUCCAUAGGUGGGCUGAGAGGCUGAUCAGCCACACUGGGACUGAGACACGGCCCAGACUCCUACGGGAUGCAGCAGUGGGGAAUAUUGGACAAUGGGCGAAAGCCUGAUCCAGCACUGCCGCGUGAGUGAUGAAGGCCGUAGGGUUGUAAAGCGUAUGUAACCGGGAUGAUAAUGACAGUACCGGGAGAAUAAGCCCCGGCUAACUCCGUG